This is a long non-coding RNA of Brassica napus (rape), 2956 nucleotides long. RefSeq lists it as uncharacterized. The transcript has 2 exons. Lineage: Eukaryota; Viridiplantae; Streptophyta; Magnoliopsida; Brassicales; Brassicaceae. The record is from RefSeq and is a predicted model, not a curated record.
AGAUAGCUUUAGUCAAAUCAAUUAUAUUGAUUUAGAAAACCCAUAAGCUAUUUCAAUCCCAAACAACCAAAAAACAGGUGCAUUUGUUAUUGACGUUGCGGCAGGUUUCCUUUAUUAUAAACAUAAUUGCUUGUCACAACUGUUAAUAAACCCAAAUGUAUUUACAAAAGCUACCCAUAUAAGAGCUUCAUACUCAUUUCUCUUUCUCUAGUCAUCUCCUAUGUUAGUAGCUAUCAUAAUACAAUCAUCAAACAAAUGACAUAUCUCUUGGUUCCAUAUAAAAUAUGCAAAAUGACUGUUUUCUGCAGACUCCAUGAUCACUGAAUAUUAUAAAUAUCAAACUCUGUCGAUGGUCUAUUUAUAUGUUGAGGAAAUGCCUCGAAAUGUAGCUUCCAAAUAAUGAUUUUCAGGUCAACACAUUGCAUGUUAACCUCCAUAAUGGGAUCAGCGAAUCUGCAGAUACCGCUACAUGUCGAGUCGAACGCAGCUACACAUAUGUUCCCUGCUUGUGCCUUUCAUUCACAAUCUGCAAUUCUCCCAAGAACCAGAAUCAAUGUUAAAUGAGGUAAAAGUUUUAGAGUCACAACAGACUUUGUAUAGCCAAGCCCAAUAAACCAAGCACCCAACGUAACAUCCCCACUUGCCUAUUUGUGCAAAAAAUGACUUGAUCAUUAUAUAGUAGCACCGGGAAGUUAGAUGGAGAAUGAGGUAUGAAUGCAAAGUAGACAAAACAGUUAAAAUCUUACUGAUUAUGGGAAAUAUAAGAAAUCAAUUCUCUUGAAAUGGCGUAUAACUGUCCAAUAGCGUGACAGAAGUACUUGUUCCUGUUCUCACCAAACUUCCAAUUCUAAAUGUAUAUAUAAAUCUAUUAGAGUUAUUGCCAGCGCUCUGUUGCGAUAUUUGUUAGCUAAAAUAACCCAUCCAACAUAAUAGGAAAAAGAAACCAACGAAAUUGUAAAGCUAACCAUCAGCUGAGAUGCUUUUGCUGUCCUGACACAUUGAAAGCUUAGUCAUUUCACUGUCAAAAGCAACAAACUAAGCAGUCAUAUACAUCCGAGACAUUUAUUUACAAACGGUUCCUAACACAGAAAAAUCAUAUUAUUAUGUUACGGAUGAUAAGUUUGAUGCAUAAAUACAAUUUAUAAUUUUUUUCAACUGAACAUUUGUGCCUACUGAAUUACCUUACAACACCCACUGCAUUGUGAUUUUGGCAUUUUAAAGCUGAGAAUCAACAUUGGAGCUUGCGUUAGCAUUUGGAACAUGAAAUAUAGCACCAUCAAUUUCCAGUGUUGUGCAAAAGAACUUUGCUAGUAAAGUAAUCGUGAUUAGUAAUUCUUUACAUCUUAGUGUCGUACAACUUCAAAACGAUAGACACUUACAAUCGACGGCUCUCAAAGAUGGACCGCAAACCAUCUAAUGAUAUGCUUACCUCGUCGUAUAAGUAAUCCAUGUCACUUCCCUCCCAUGGGUAACGUCGCUGGUGCAGAUCAAUUCCCUCCACCUCUUCCUCAUCAUUAGGAUGCUCUGCAAUAUACCCUCUGUAAGGUUCAAAUUUAUGUCGCUAGAAUUAUCAGAGAAAGAAAUAUAAAAUACCCUCCAAAUCUUCAGGAGCAUCGACAUUUUCUUUAUUCAAUGAUCUUCAUUCAAGCUAACAACCAUCAAAAUAAAAAGAAUGUGAGGCACAUAGUUUUCAAAAUCCAAGUUUAAUGAAUGGAAAAAAAAAACUCAGGAAAACAGAAAAUGUCAAACACUCACUGGCUUCUUCUUCUUUUACUUCUUGGCUCCCGUGAAUGAACUGUCAAAGCCAUUAUUAUCUGCAGGAAAAAAAUUAAACAAAGCAGCUGAUGAAAAGAAACAAAUAUGUUUCACAACACAUAAACUCUUCUUGAACAAUCAGACAACAGAUAGUAUGUCUCCCAUGUGACUCAGCUGAGUCCUCGAUGGCAUCCUGAACGACAAAUGUCUUCUUCUUCUUCUUGGUUAGAUCAAAGGGUGCAAGCUAAGGAUGACCAAAGAAAAUUAAAACCACACAAUCAUGAUGUAUCAGGCAAAAUAAAAGAACCGAUGAUGAAUUUAUUAAAGAUGGGGAGAUGUAGAGACUAAAGAAGAAAAACUGAUUCAUGAAACUCAAAGAGCCAAUAUGUGUUUCUUAGAUGAGUCAUGAACUGAUGAUUAAAAAUUGAAAGCCCUAAACUUCCAUUGAAGAGAACGCUUACAGAUCAAAGAGAUUUAUUGGGCUUUCUUUUAACGAAUUCCAUUUCAAAACAUGAGUUAUAAAAUAUUUAUUAAAUCAUUAGAUAAAAUAAAUAAGUGUGGGUCUCACAGAAAAAACCGAAGAAGCAAAAGUUUCUGACAUUCAUAAAUAUAUAUUUGUUUCAGUCGUUAAUGUACAAAGAAUCUUUUAUUUGAGUGCUAUGAAGAGUGAUGCAACCCUAUUAAUGUAGAUUUAAGUUCUGGAACUGCUUUCAAGUCUUGUCAGAUCCAUCAGAUCCAGAUCCAGUAAUGGCGGGUGCAGUAGCUAGAAUUUUGAAGAGGGUGGGUCUCCCUCCAUUGGGUGUUGUGGAUGUAAUCUCGAUAGGUUCAUUACCGGUCCUAGCCUAUAUAUACUUCCGGCAGGAAAAACAAUUUGCUUGGCUUGAUGAGCAAGAGAAACGUGUGAAUGCAACGGUUGCUGACAUGGGGGCUAGAGGAAUAAACAGAGAUCGUUGAUGAUGAUGAUGAUUUAUCCACAAGCAUGUGGUUUCUUUUUUUUUUUUUUUUUUUCUAUAUUAUAUAUGUUAGUUUUCCAUCUAUAAUAUUCCUAUUAAAUAAAAUAAGUCUUCUCUCUGCAUAAAAAGAUGAUCCUGUAUGAUAUAGGCUAACAUAGUUGUACAAUUUGGUGAGAUUGGCUUGACUUCUUUUUUCUUCGUUUGUAAUAAUACAUUAUUAUUGAUUGCUGCACUAGUUUAGCGUAGGA